UACGUAGGGGGCAAGCGUUGUCCGGAUUUAUUGGGCGUAAAGAGCGUGUAGGCGGUUUGGUAGGUCCGUUGUGAAAACUCGAGGCUCAACCUCGAGACGCCGAUGGAAACCAUCAGACUAGAGUCCGGAAGAGGAGAGUGGAAUUCCUGGUGUAGCGGUGAAAUGCGCAGAUAUCAGGAGGAACACCUGUGGCGAAAGCGGCUCACUGGACCACAACUGACGCUGAGGCGCGAAAGCUAGGGGAGCAAACAGG
This 253-nucleotide ribosomal RNA is filed under the name uncultured bacterium. RNAcentral describes it as "partial 16S ribosomal RNA". It matches the Rfam family "Bacterial small subunit ribosomal RNA", at positions 524 to 776 of the family's 1533-position model. The record is from RNAcentral.